Non-coding RNA from Corylus avellana, 383 nucleotides. The record is from RefSeq and is a predicted model, not a curated record. Lineage: Eukaryota; Viridiplantae; Streptophyta; Magnoliopsida; Fagales; Betulaceae.
UUUGGAUGGUGCCAAAGCUUUAUGGGUAUUGAGUUUUAAAUUUAUCUUCAUUACUCCUAUGAAGGGUGGUUUGAAUAAUAUGGAGAAGAGCAAAGGCAAAGUUGUUAGUACUGCAAGUAAAAUUGUGGGAAGAAAAGCAUUGGAUGAUGUCAGCAAUGUCCAGGGCAAAUCUUCAAGGAAAGUAGUGCAUGAUGGUCCCAAGCUAAUGUGACUCUGCACAACAGUUCAAAGCCAAUCCUAAAAUGGAUGAUACACAAUCCUCUAUGGCAGCAUAAUCUCCUUUGUUUCUCAGUAAGUUGGCACCAACAAGUUCAAUUAUUGAAAGAGAUUUCAAGCUUUGUCCAAAUGGUGGUAGAACCAAGCAAACUGUUGAUAUCAUUCUG